AGUAUGUGGUUAAUUCGAAGCAACGCGAAGAACCUUACCAGGUCUUGACAUCCCCUGACAACCCGAGAGAUCGGCGUUCCCCCUUCGGGGGACAGGGUGACAGGUGGUGCAUGGUUGUCGUCAGCUCGUGUCGUGAGAUGUUGGGUUAAGUCCCGCAACGAGCGCAACCCUCGACCUUAGUUGCCAGCAUUCAGUUGGGCACUCUAAGGUGACUGCCGGCUAAAAGUCGGAGGAAGGUGGGGAUGACGUCAAAUCGUCAUGCCCCUUAUGACCUGGGCUACACACGUGCUACAAUGGGCGGUACAAAGGGUCGCGAACCCGCGAGGGGGAGCCAAUCCCAAAAAGCCGCUCUCAGUUCGGAUUGCAGGCUGCAACUCGCCUGCAUGAAGCCGGAAUCGCUAGUAAUCGCGGAUCAGCAUGCCGCGGUGAAUACGUUCCCGGGCCUU
RNAcentral lists this ribosomal RNA (446 nucleotides) under uncultured Anoxybacillus sp. RNAcentral's name for it is "bacterial SSU rRNA". It matches the Rfam family "Bacterial small subunit ribosomal RNA", at positions 936 to 1382 of the family's 1533-position model. Lineage: Bacteria; Bacillati; Bacillota; Bacilli; Caryophanales; Anoxybacillaceae. The record is from RNAcentral.